RNAcentral lists this unclassified non-coding RNA (729 nucleotides) under Bombus terrestris (buff-tailed bumblebee). Its description in RNAcentral is "misc RNA ENSBTSG00005036035.1". The record is from RNAcentral. Lineage: Eukaryota; Metazoa; Arthropoda; Insecta; Hymenoptera; Apidae.
GAUCUUCGUCGCUGGAGUUACUACUGGACCAACCACGUAACUCGCUUCUCGCUCUUCGUCUGGAUUCUUCUAAGAUUGUCGUGGUUGUUCUAGGCUCUUUCUCUGUGGGAGAGUCACUGGUCCAGCAGCGUAACUCGCUUCUGGAGCGUCUUCUGGAUUCUGUGGGACUGUCGGGUAAUGGAACGGGUCCCCUUGGACAGAUGGUCAGGAUCUCCAGGAAGUUCAGACAGCGUUGGGCUCGAAAUGGUGUUUGCCUGACCAAUUCUGCCGCGAUUGCCCUCACCCAGGACCAGUACACGGUUGCUGAGUGUGAAUCCAAGAGCCAGUGCGUGUGGUUGACAUAGGCUGGGUGCUGCUUGUCGUAGGUUCAAUGCCCUCAACGGGAGCCUGGGAGUACCCUCGACCCAAAGCCAUCCCAUUCUGAUGGAUACGAUCCGCCUCUCACCUAGGUCCUCCACGUAUAGUCUGCCUAUCAGGACGCUGAAGUGUCUGGUGUGUAGCAAAUCCUCGACCGUUUUUGGUCCUAUUCCGCGAGAGAUUGAGCACGUCAUUAUCGCGAAAGUGUCGCCAUGAUCGAUCGUAUUCUCCACUACUAAACGUCGAUGGAAAACUAAGCCAACGGAGUUUCGCUCGCAUGAAAAUGGAAAAUGAAAGCAGCUCCGAGCUACGCUGCCGUUUCUGGAACGAAUUUUCUAAUCUCGCUCCAGCUGAAGCACGGUUCCGAAUCGC